AAAAUCAAAAUUGUGUUACGGU
RNAcentral lists this small nuclear RNA (22 nucleotides) under Arabidopsis thaliana (thale cress). RNAcentral describes it as "snRNA_17426". The record is from RNAcentral. Lineage: Eukaryota; Viridiplantae; Streptophyta; Magnoliopsida; Brassicales; Brassicaceae.